CAAUAAGCGGAGGAAAAGAAACCAACAGGGAUUGCCCUAGUAACGGCGAGUGAAGCGGCAACAGCUCAAAUUUGAAAUCUGGCUCUCGGGCCCGAGUUGUAAUUUGUAGAGGAUGCUUUUGAUGCGGUGCCUUCCGAGUUCCCUGGAACGGGACGCCAUAGAGGGUGAGAGCCCCGUCUGGUUGGAUACCAAAUCUCUGUAAAGCUCCUUCGACGAGUCGAGUAGUUUGGGAAUGCUGCUCUAAAUGGGAGGUAUAUGUCUUCUAAAGCUAAAUACUGGCCAGAGACCGAUAGCGCACAAGUAGAGUGAUCGAAAGAUGAAAAGCACUUUGAAAAGAGAGUUAAAAAGUACGUGAAAUUGUUGAAAGGGAAGCGUUUAUGACCAGACUUGGGCUUGGAUAAUCAUCUGGGGUUCUCCCCAGUGCACUUUUCCAGUCCAGGCCAGCAUCAGUUUUCGCCGGGGGAUAAAGGCUUCGGGAAUGUGGCUCCCUCCGGGGAGUGUUAUAGCCCGUUGCGUAAUACCCUGGCGGGGACUGAGGUUCGCGCAUCUGCAAGGAUGCUGGCGUAAUGGUCAUCAACGACCCGUCUUGAAACACGGACCAAGGAGUCGUCUUCGUAUGCGAGUGUUCGGGUGUCAAACCCCUACGCGUAAUGAAAGUGAACGCAGGUGAGAGCUUCGGCGCAUCAUCGACCGAUCCUGAUGUUCUCGGAUGGAUUUGAGUAAGAGCAUACGGGGCCGGACCCGAAAGAAGGUGAACUAUGCCUGUGUAGGGUGAAGCCAGAGGAAACUCUGGUGGAGGCUCGCAGCGGUUCUGACGUGCAAAUCGAUCGUCAAACAUGGGCAUGGGGGCGAAAGACUAAUCGA
Molecule: ribosomal RNA, 864 nt
Filed under: Fusarium equiseti
Lineage: Eukaryota; Fungi; Ascomycota; Sordariomycetes; Hypocreales; Nectriaceae
Description: partial large subunit ribosomal RNA
Rfam family: Eukaryotic large subunit ribosomal RNA
Source: RNAcentral